RNAcentral lists this transfer RNA (71 nucleotides) under Bacillus massilinigeriensis. It matches the Rfam family "tRNA". Rfam says of the family: Transfer RNA (tRNA) molecules are approximately 80 nucleotides in length. The record is from RNAcentral. Lineage: Bacteria; Bacillati; Bacillota; Bacilli; Caryophanales; Bacillaceae.
GCCUAUAGCUCAGCUGGUUAGAGCGCACGCCUGAUAAGCGUGAGGUCGAGGGUUCGAGUCCAUUUAGGCCC